CUGCGUUAGGGAUAGCAGCGAAAAUCCUUUUUUGAUGGAGCGUAGCGGAAUUGAAAAAGAUUGCAGCGAAUAGCCCGGCGCUGG
Molecule: small RNA, 84 nt
Filed under: Flavobacterium caeni
Lineage: Bacteria; Pseudomonadati; Bacteroidota; Flavobacteriia; Flavobacteriales; Flavobacteriaceae
Description: Flavo-1 RNA
Rfam family: Flavo-1 RNA
Source: RNAcentral